This 71-nucleotide transfer RNA is filed under the name Marmota monax (woodchuck). RNAcentral describes it as "tRNA.Ala". Lineage: Eukaryota; Metazoa; Chordata; Mammalia; Rodentia; Sciuridae. The record is from RNAcentral.
CUAGGUGUAGGAUAGUGGUAGAGUAAUUGCAUCGCGUGCACAAAGUCCUGGGUUUGAACCCCAGCACCAGA